Molecule: microRNA precursor, 136 nt
Filed under: Gossypium hirsutum (cotton)
Lineage: Eukaryota; Viridiplantae; Streptophyta; Magnoliopsida; Malvales; Malvaceae
Description: MIR7502 microRNA precursor family
Rfam family: MIR7502 microRNA precursor family
Source: Rfam by way of RNAcentral
UGUGAAAAAUUUCAUCCAUUUUUAUCUGGUGUGGCUGACAGUAUAAUCAAAUAAUUACAUCUGGUGUGCCACGUGUAUCUCAUUUUGGUGUAUAGAGACCAGUUUUUAAUAGUAGAAAUGGAUGGAAGUUUGCCCU